RNAcentral lists this ribosomal RNA (468 nucleotides) under uncultured bacterium. RNAcentral's name for it is "partial 16S ribosomal RNA". It matches the Rfam family "Bacterial small subunit ribosomal RNA", at positions 28 to 507 of the family's 1533-position model. The record is from RNAcentral.
GACGAACGCUGGCGGCGUGCUUAACACAUGCAAGUCGAACGGAAAGGCCCUGCUUUUGUGGGGUUCUCGCGUGGCGAACGUGUGAGUAACACGUGAGUCUCCUUCCCUUUACUUUGUGAUAACUUCAGGAAACUGGUGCUACUACCUGAUAGGAGCUCCUGCUGCAUGGUGGGGUUUGGACCUUUUCGGCGGUUGGGGAUGGACUCGGGGCUUAUUGGCUUGUUGGUUGGGUACUUGCUUACCCAGGCAUUGGCGGCUAGCCGGCAUGUGAGGGGAGACGGGGACAUGGGGACUGAGAGACGGAGCAGAGUCGUACGGGAGGCAGCAGGGGGGAAUAUGGCACAGUGGGCGGAAGCGUGAGGAAGCGACGUCGCGUGCGGGAUGACGGCCUUCGGGUGGUAAACCGCAGUAGCCUGUGACGAAGCGUGAGUGACGGUAAUGGGUGAAGAAGCACCGGCUAACUACGUG